UGUCGUGGCCUGGUGAACCCAUCUCAAUAGCUCUCUUUGCCCAUAAGUCUGCAGACUCGUUUCCAGGAAUGCCACAAUGGCCUGGGAUCCAUCCGAGUACUAUUUUUAAUCCCUUUGAUUCACAUUUUCUUAAUAAGGUUUUGAUCUGAAGUAUCAAGGGGAAUUUUGCCUUCAUUUUAAACUGGUUGCCCAUAAUAGCUUGCAGGCAACUCCUGCUAUCUGUAAAAAUGAUCAUUUUUGCUAUAUUGUGAGAGUCAGCGUAUGCUACAGCUUCCAAGAUGGCAACAGCCUCGCCUGUGAAAAUGGAUGAUUGAGGAGGACAUUUAAACAUCAAGACAAUGUUAUAUUUUGGAAUCACCACUGCUGCUCCAACACAAUUUGCAGGAUCAUUUUUUGAUGCGUCAGUAAACACAGUGACCAAUGAAGCAAGAGCCUGCAAGCGUGUAAUCAGCAAGUGAUUGGAGUUGGAGAUAGCUCUUAUGAGGAACCUGUCAGCAAGAUAUUGUCUACGCAGCACCAGAGGAGGCUCCACACAUUCUACUUGCAUGGCAUUUUUUGGGGAAGAUCUCAUGGCACCAAAUGAGGUUUUCCACUCAUUUUCCGAUCCAGGAUGAUACCCAGGAAUUUGGUUGACUCUUUAUUGGGAAUGCUUUCUUCACCAUAAUGAACAUCUGCAGUUGGCAUGUUCCUUUUGCGACUGAAGGUCACAGCACAGCUCUUGGAGGGUGACAAAGACAGACCAUGCUCUUCAAGCCAAUCCUUCAGGUAACUCAGGCCCAUGUUCAACCUUGCAGACGCCGUAUCAACAGAUUUUGCGGAAGUGUAGAGGAUUAGAUCAUCUGCAUACUGUAGAAUGUUACAAAAGGGAAGCACAGAUUGCUCUAAAUCAUAUGUAUAUAUGCUGUAAAGAAUUGGACUGAGAACAGAUCCUUGAGGAAGGCCCUGCCACAGUGUACGAGGAGAAAGAUAAGAGCUGCCAUCACGGAUUUUGAUGGUUCUUCCUAUGAAUAGAUUGGAGACAAUUUGUACAAUCUUCACGGCAAUGCUCAGAUGUAGCAUUUUUGCUCUGAGCACCGGAAGAAGGACAUUGUCAUAAGCUGCCGAAAUAUCAAGAAAACAUCCUAGUAGGUCCUCAUUGUUGGAAAGCGACAGUCUGAUAUCCGUGGUUAGUAUGUUUAAGCUGUCCAUAGUGCUCCUACCUUUUCGAAACCCGAAUUGGGUGUUUGCUAACAUUCCCCUGCUCUCGACGUACCACUCCAGCCUAUUCUUUACUAGGUGCUCAAGUAUCUUGCCCAUCGUAGUGGAGAGCGCAAUCGGUCGGUACGAGCUGGCCUCUUGGGGAUUUUUAGUUGGUUUCAAUAUUGGGAUGACAAUUUGAGUUUUCCAAUCUUCCGGGAUAUCUCCUGAGUCAAACACGUGAUUUAGAAUGCCAAGAAAGUAUUCCUGUGAGAAUGAGCUCAGUUCAGUUAUAAAACAGUAAGGAAUACCAUCUUCUCCCGGUGAAGUGUUGCGCAGUCCAUCCAAAGCUAUUUUGAGCUCCGCAACCGAAAAUGGUUCGUCAAAGGUGGUUGAUGGAGGAGGGAGUGGUGGUGACACUACACAAGAUAAUUCUGGGGCAGUUGGGGGUGCCAGUUUGUCAGCAAAGUCCAAAAGCCAAGAUGACCUGUCAGAAGAACAUAUGAUAUCCGGUUUAAAGGACCCUCUGAACCGCCUUAUAUUUUUCCACACAACUGAUGGGGGAGUUCUAGGGGACAAACUCUCACAGAACCCUUUCCAACCCUUUUUCUUAGUUUUGGACAAUAAGCGUUUAGUGCGGGCCGAGGUUUUCCUGAAAUUGAUGAAGUCCUCUAUGUCACCAGAUUCAUUAAAUUUAUGUUCAGCUUCAUCUCUCUCUUUCACGGCAGCUGUGCAGUCAGCAUUCCACCAUGGAGGUGAAAGGAUUUUAUCCUUUUUGUUUUUUUUCCGGGGGAUAAACUUAUCAGCUGCUUCUAAAAGUAAAUUUUUGAAUUUUGAGUAAUUUUCCCUAUUGUCAUUUAAGGUAGAGUCCCAUUCUUUAAUUUUUGUUUCGACAUAAAGUGAAAAUUUCGACAAGUCAGCUGAUUGUAUUCUGUAUUUCAAAAGCGGUUCAGGAGACGGGGAUGGAAGAACAGAUGAGGGCUUGGAUAUAAUAAUGGGAAAGUGAUCGCUGCCAUAGGACUGACGAAGCACAGUCCAAGAUAACAAUGAGGCCAAAUUAGGGGAGCAAGCUGACAAGUCGGGAACGGACUGUGGGUUCUGGCCAGGAUAGACUCGAUGUGUGGGCGAUCCGUCGUUUAUAAUGCAAACGUUGAUUUCAUCGAAGAUUUCUAACAAGAGUGACGAAAACCCAUCUGAAUGGUAUGAUCCCCACGAAAUGUUGUGUGAAUUAAAAUCGCCUAAAACUAUAUGAGGAGGAGGGACAGAGUUUAGGAUAGAAGAUAAUUCAGGAAUAAGGUCAAGGUCAGGGUGAGGUAUAUAUAUUGAAAUGAAAUUAAUGCCCAUAACCUUAGCGGCUACGGCAUUAAUUUCAUUUCCAUGAGGAGGGAGGGGAAUUUGAGAGAAGGGGUAGGAUUGCUUGAUCAACAAAGCGCAUCCCGCACGUCCAUCGAUGCGGUCAUCUCGAAGGCAUGAGAAGCCCGGGAGUCUAAACUGAGACCCGGGCCUCAGCCACGUCUCCGAGACGGCCGCGACAGACACAGAAUGUUCGUUGAUCAGCUGGAUGAGAUCUGGUUUUUUAGGAAUAAUACUCCGGCUAUUCCAUUGAAGAAAUGUGGCCUGGCGGUCCAUGGUGGUGAGGGAAGGAAAGUUUUUCUACUAGGGUCAACAUUAAAGGUGCAACGUCGUUCGGUAAUAUAUCACUCCAUUUUGCGAUGAUAUUAGUUAACAGUUUAAGGAGGAGCUCCAUGAGGUCCUCAUUAGGAGUUUCUCUGGUGUAUGAGUUAUUGAGGGCUUGUCCGUUGGGGAUUUGGGAUGGAGGGGGUCGGACUAUAUUGUUAUGGGCUUGUUGGUCAUAACCUGGGGAUAAGGAAGGUCUUGAUCGAGGUGACAAAAAUACUGUCUUGCGGUGAGAGGUUCUGGGAGGGGUAGAAGAUAAAUCUGUUAAGUCAACGGGAGAUUGUGAUGGGGGGGAAAAUUCUCUGGGGCCAAACAUUAUAUUUGCAACGUCCGCAUAGGGUCUACGAGUUACAACUGGGACUUGUGUGGAUGCUUCAGCAUAUGAAAUAUUUCUUUCAGACAUUAUCAGUUUGAUGGACUUUUGUCGGUGAUGUUCUGGGCAGUUUCUGUCAGUGGCAUAGUGUCGGGCAGUGCAAAAAAUACAGGAUAUGUGUUCGGGAGCUACAUUACACCCAUCACCCGGGUGCUUCUGGGCACAUUUGUAGCAGCGGGCAUCUGAGCGACAUUGAGUCUGGAUGUGUCCAAAUCUAAGGCAUUUUCGGCAUUGAAUUGUUGGCAGUAGGUAUACCUCCACCACUAGAGAGGUAUAAUAAGCAAAUAUUCUAGAUGGCAAAGUUUGACCUUCAAAAGUAACUACUACAGUCUGGGUUGGAACCCAGGAUGGAGAGCCAUCCUCCUUGGUCACUUUCCUUUGUAGUCGACGCGCUUUCAAAAUCCUACCUUUACCUUCUAUUAAAUUUGUACCCUUAACAAAAUCAAUCAUGGACCAAUCUGUUGGAACUCCUCGAACUAGACCCAUACGAGAUAUGUUGUACGUUGGUAUGUUUGCUGAUAGCUUGUGUUUAUCUAGCAUGGGGUUUUUUAAGAUAGAGUUGGCAUCAACGGCUUUAUUGAAUGUAACUGACACUCUAUUGCGACCUACAGAUUUUAUCCCGUCCUUCUUAAUAUUUGUGACAUUUGCCUGUGUUAAGAGCAUACCUACGUAGAUGGCUUUCAAUGUUGACCUGGAGUCAGUAGAAGAUUCCUUUGAGAUGUGUACCACAAAUGGGCCAUCGUCGUCUGCAUUGUAUCCUCGACCUUCUGUGUCAAGAUCCGGGUGUUUGUACAAAAGUGGGUUAGCAUUCUCAUCGAUUUGUUUAUCUACGUGGGGGUUGGUGACAUCCUCAUUUACUAUUGUUACCUGUUCCGAGAUCUCUUUGUGGACGUCGGUUGUAAUUUUUUUAAGAGCCGGUUCUUGUGGACUACUGACCGGUGAUAAGUCUAAUGUUUGCAAGUUUCUUUUUCUAGAAUUAUUUUCAAUGUCCAUACCAACCAUAACAUUAGAGUUACCAUCGGUCUCGUCAGGCGGCUUUUCCUUCUCAUUCCCCUCCAUUGGCCCUAAGGCCAAAAAGGCCUUACCCUAGCUUUGUAUCCGAACAAAUGUAUUAAUAACCUAACUUAUGUAAAUAAACCUCAACCAAGUUAAUAAAUAAGGAUGAAAUUUAUAAAGGAUGU
Molecule: long non-coding RNA, 4407 nt
Organism: Cydia fagiglandana
Lineage: Eukaryota; Metazoa; Arthropoda; Insecta; Lepidoptera; Tortricidae
Exons: 3
Source: RefSeq, a predicted model, not a curated record